AGUGAACGCUGGCGGUAGGCCUAACACAUGCAAGUCGAACGGCAGCACAGUAAGAGCUUGCUCUUACGGGUGGCGAGUGGCGGACGGGUGAGGAAUAUAUCGGAAUCUACUUUUUCGUGGGGGAUAACGUAGGGAAACUUACGCUAAUACCGCAUACGACCUACGGGUGAAAGCAGGGGAUCUUCGGACCUUGCGCGAUUGAAUGAGCCGAUGUCGGAUUAGCUAGUUGGCGGGGUAAAGGCCCACCAAGGCGACGAUCCGUAGCUGGUCUGAGAGGAUGAUCAGCCACACUGGAACGGGGACACGGUCCAGACUCCUACGGGAGGCAGCAGUGGGGAAUAUUGGACAAUGGGCGCAAGCCUGAUCCAGCCAUACCGCGUGGGUGAAGAAGGCCUUCGGGUUGUAAAGCCCUUUUGUUGGGAAAGAAAAGCAGCAGGUUAAUACCCCGCUGUUCUGACGGUACCCAAAGAAUAAGCACCGGCUAACUUCGUG
This 492-nucleotide ribosomal RNA is filed under the name uncultured bacterium. RNAcentral describes it as "partial 16S ribosomal RNA". It matches the Rfam family "Bacterial small subunit ribosomal RNA", at positions 29 to 507 of the family's 1533-position model. The record is from RNAcentral.